GCCAGGCACAGUGGUGCACUCCUGUAAUCCCAGCUACUGGGGAGGCUGAAACAGGAGGAUCACAAGUUUUAGGCCAGCCUCUGCAAUUUAGUGAGAUCCUGUCUCAA
This 107-nucleotide small RNA is filed under the name Marmota monax (woodchuck). The record is from RNAcentral. Lineage: Eukaryota; Metazoa; Chordata; Mammalia; Rodentia; Sciuridae.